AGAAGAAAAAAGUUAAUUAUUUUCUUACACAUGUCAACAUCUGAUCGAUAGAUUUGACACGUGACAUAAUCUUAUGAGUUAGUAACUUUGAAAACCAUACUUUAUAUAAUAAGAUUU
Molecule: small RNA, 117 nt
Filed under: Arabidopsis thaliana (thale cress)
Lineage: Eukaryota; Viridiplantae; Streptophyta; Magnoliopsida; Brassicales; Brassicaceae
Description: ATSL240140
Source: RNAcentral